UUGGGGGUCGCCGCCCUUCCACUGCACCACCAAACAGUGAGUGCUCCUGCAGGCUGAGUGCCUCGAGGCUGCAGCAUUCAGGCUGCUUGGCAACCACGUCAUACAGGUCUCGCACCUAAGACAGCCCAGCCCCUCUCAGGUCUCCAGGCAGCUGACUGGCACCCUGUGCCCAUGGGGAGGGAUCUGCCUUGGCACCCUUGGCUCCUUUUCCCAUAUCCCGCCCCAUCUGUACUACUCUCCCAGCUCAGGCCUUACCGCUCAGCCAACACC
Molecule: long non-coding RNA, 270 nt
Organism: Fukomys damarensis (Damara mole-rat)
Lineage: Eukaryota; Metazoa; Chordata; Mammalia; Rodentia; Bathyergidae
Exons: 3
Source: RefSeq, a predicted model, not a curated record